This 468-nucleotide ribosomal RNA is filed under the name uncultured bacterium. Its description in RNAcentral is "partial 16S ribosomal RNA". It matches the Rfam family "Bacterial small subunit ribosomal RNA", at positions 28 to 507 of the family's 1533-position model. The record is from RNAcentral.
GACGAACGCUGGCGGCGUGCUUAACACAUGCAAGUCGAACGGAAAGGCCCUGCUUUUGUGGGGUGCUCGAGUGGCGAACGGGUGAGUAACACGUGAGUAACCUGCCCUUGACUUUGGGAUAACUUCAGGAAACUGGGGCUAAUACCGGAUAGGAGCUCCUGCUGCAUGGUGGGGGUUGGAAAGUUUCGGCGGUUGGGGAUGGACUCGCGGCUUAUCAGCUUGUUGGUGGGGUAGUGGCUUACCAAGGCUUUGACGGGUAGCCGGCCUGAGAGGGUGACCGGCCACAUUGGGACUGAGAUACGGCCCAGACUCCUACGGGAGGCAGCAGUGGGGAAUAUUGCACAAUGGGCGGAAGCCUGAUGCAGCAACGCCGCGUGCGGGGUGACGGCCUUCGGGUUGUAAACCGCUUUCGCCUGUGACGAAGCGUGAGUGACGGUAAUGGGUAAAGAAGCACCGGCUAACUACGUC